GAGAAGGAAGAUGUAUUGGUUGGUGCAAAAGUAAGUGUAGUUUUUGCCAUUUAAAGUAAUAGCAAAAACCGCAAUAACUUUUGCACCAACGUAGUA
Molecule: microRNA precursor, 96 nt
Filed under: Chlorocebus sabaeus (green monkey)
Lineage: Eukaryota; Metazoa; Chordata; Mammalia; Primates; Cercopithecidae
Description: miRNA (ENSCSAG00000027821.1)
Source: RNAcentral